GUUUUUAACCAAACCAAGUAACCCAACCAUCGAUUAUUGUGUAUUAUAAAAGUAUGUUACUUUCCCAACCAUUUUGCCCAGCUUUCAUUCUUUCAAUGGCUCCUACAGCAGCAAUGCUAAUUCUUUCUGCCCGUAUCAAAUCAACUUCUCCACCAUCUCUUCCUCCUCGUUCUACCGCCCCUCUAACCUCUUUCUUUGGGGUUAAGUUCUUUUCAGUGAAAUGGAUCAAACAAGACAGUACCAUCUUCAAUGGAAGCUAUCAAGAGAAAGAGUCAGUAAUGGUAGAUUCUUAUUUGCCUGCAGAUUCUGCCUUGGAAAAGAGGUUUGAAGAAGCCCUUGAACAUAGCUGCUGGUCGUAGAGGUGGUUUAAAAGUUGUACUAUUUCUUUCUUUGUUUUUUCAGAUACUGUUUUAUAAUUUUGUUUGGUGUUGGUUGGCCUAAGACCUAAUUUGUGUAAAUAUAACUUGAUUGUUCAUGAAGUAGAAGUUGUUUCCUAAUUCAUACGUAAUCUUUCACAAAGCCCAUAUGAAAGAAUCUAUGAUGAAAUGAUGCAAGCAAUUGCAUUUUCAGUUUGUGUUAGUUGAUAGUAUACUUUGCCUGAAUCCCAUCUCCUAUCCUAUCCUUAACCCUUUGUUU
This 636-nucleotide unclassified non-coding RNA is filed under the name Hevea brasiliensis (rubber tree). The record is from RNAcentral. Lineage: Eukaryota; Viridiplantae; Streptophyta; Magnoliopsida; Malpighiales; Euphorbiaceae.